This 253-nucleotide ribosomal RNA is filed under the name uncultured bacterium. RNAcentral's name for it is "partial 16S ribosomal RNA". It matches the Rfam family "Bacterial small subunit ribosomal RNA", at positions 524 to 776 of the family's 1533-position model. The record is from RNAcentral.
GACGUAGGGUGCAAGCGUUGUCCGGAUUUAUUGGGCGUAAAGAGUUCGUAGGCGGUUGCCUAAGGCUGAUGGUAAAUCCCGGAGCUCAACUUCGGUAUGGCAUUGGAAACUGGGUGGCUUGAGUAUGGUAGAGGUUACGGGAAUUCCUGGUGUAGCGGUGAAAUGCGUAGAUAUCGAGAGGAACACCUGCGGCGAAGGCGGGUUGCUGGGCCGACACUGACGCUGAUGCGCGAAAGCCAGGGGAGCGAACGGG